Scylla paramamosain (green mud crab) is the source of this 3272-nucleotide long non-coding RNA. RefSeq lists it as uncharacterized. Lineage: Eukaryota; Metazoa; Arthropoda; Malacostraca; Decapoda; Portunidae. The record is from RefSeq and is a predicted model, not a curated record. The transcript has 6 exons.
GAGGCAUGUGAAGAGCUUUUUAACUUUUAUUAACUACGGUUGUAAGCUGUGAAAAGCACAAAUUUGAAAACAAUGAAUAAACAAUGGAGAAAUGUGCUUCAAUUAUGGUUUAUAAAUGUAUCAGUCAAGUGAUUCAGUGUUAAAGUGACCACCACCACCACCACCACCCACCCACCACCAUGUAGUGGGUGUAUAGGGUUCGGUCCAGCAGUCUGCCCUGGUGCACUGUGACGUGAGGACCUGCGUGUGCUGCUACUCUCAUCCUGCCGGUGUGGUGACUGUGACCUGCCCUGACCUGCCUGUGACCUGCUAUUAACCUGCUUUUGACCUGCCUUGACUUCCUCUGACACAUGGUGACCCGAGACCUGCCAAGACCUUCCCAGGACCUUCCAAGACCUUCCAAGACCCACAAUGACCCACAGAUGAAGGUACAGAUUUAAGAAGUGCGAUGAUGCGACACACAGACAGACAGACAGACAGACAGGUGUGGGAUGAGUGCUGGCAUACUGAAGGUCAAGAGGUCAAGAGGUCAAGAGUCACGUGUUGAGUCGUAUGGGUCACCAGACAGGUCACCCACCUAACCCCUCUCGGCCUGUCAGUUCAGCGGCAACACUGUCAUGGAAGAAUUUGCUGCAAGCUGUGCCUCUCUGUGCUUGUUAUCCGAACCUUGUGUCUAAUAUUGCCUUAAUGUUGGUUGUGUGUGUGUGUUGAGAGAGAGAGAGAGAGAGAGAGGAAGAGAGAGAGAGAGAGAGAGAGAGAGAGAGAGAGAGAGAGAUUUUGUUACUCGUCAUGUCCCCUGUACCACUUGAAGACCUCCACCAGACCCCCUCUUAGUCACCCUUGUUGUGUCCCCUGUACCACUUGAAGACCUCCACCUGACCCCCUCUUAGUCACCCUUGUUGUGUCCCCUGUACCACUUGAAGACCUCCACCAGACCCCCUCUUAGUCACCCUUGUUGUGUCCCCUGUACCACUUGAAGACCUCCACCAGACCCCCUCUUAGUCACCCUUGUUGUGUCCCCUGUACCACUUGAAGACCUCCACCAGACCCCCUCUUAGUCACCCUUGUUGUGUCCCCCUGUACCACUUGAAGACCUCUACCAGACCCCCUCUUAGUCACCCUUGUUGUGUCCCCUGUACCACUUGAAGACCUCCACCAGACCCCCUCUUAGUCACCCUUGUUGUGUCCCCUGUACCACUUGAAGACCUCCACCAGACCCCCUCUUAGUCACCCUUGUUGUGUCCCCUGUACCACUUGAAGACCUCUACCAGACCCCCUCUUAGUCACCCUUGUUGUGUCCCCUGUACCACUUGAAGACCUCCACCAGACCCCCUCUUAGUCACCCUUGUUGUGUCCCCUGUACCACUUGAAGACCUCCACCUGACCCCCUCUUAGUCACCCUUCUGAGGUACAAUAGUGUCUUGUCAUCCUUCCUAUGUCAUCCUUGUGUAAUCAGGAAUAAUUAUCAGCAUUUGUACUCCUCCUGUCUGUCUGUCUGUCUGCCUACCAGUUAAAAUGAUCAAUGUAGUCAGUUUAUACUUGUGGAUACUGUGUGUGUGUGUGUGUGUGUGUGUGUGUGUGUAUAUAUAUGAAUUAAUGUUUAUUGUGAAGUAUCUGCCUGCCUGCUUGCAAAUUAAUCAUCAAUAUAAUUACUGUUUGUGUGUUUGUGUGUUAUAAAGUUAAUCUUGUAGUGUAUUAUUGAUUGUAAUCCACAUGUAUGGGGCUGGCCAGACGUGAUGUACUGUGACAGCCAGAACCUUGACAUAUACUGCAUGAUAAAAUGAAAAUAAGCAAAAAUACAUGAAUAAAGUACAAAUUUUGAGCCGAACUAAUGAGGACUUUCUCUCGUCUUUUUCAGAGGUGCGUACAUCUGCGAGUCACUCCAACCAACCUCUUAUAUCCUACCUUAUUCUGAUAUAUUAGGUUAGAUUCAGUUAGGUUACUUAUAUUGGGGGUUUGUCUUCCUUACUAACAAAAUUAUCCUAACCCAUUCCUUCCUUCUCGUCAAGCUGUCAGUGGGAGAAGCCCCAGGACUCUCAAGCGUGGGUUUGAGUUACAACUGCGGGUGUGCUAGCUCACCUUGAAGUCAGACGGGGCUCACGUGUUGCAGUGUUGCAGUGUUGCAGUGUUGCAGAUCUUCACCCAAACAAGGGGAGUAUUGUUUUUUUGUGUUUUGUAUAUAUAUAUUUUUUUUUGGGGGGGAGGGGGUCUGGGGAUAGCUAUCUGCGGUGUGCAUCUGUGCGUGCGUCUGUGUGUGUGUGCGUCUGUGUGUGCAUCUGCGUGUGCGUCUGUGCACGUGCGUCUUGUGUGCGUGCAUCUGUGUGUACGUGUCUUUUUUUUGGUUGUGUGUGUGUGAAUUUUUUUUUGGUAUAAAUAUAUAGGUGGCAGGCCAUAGUGUUAGGAUAUUUGACAGAUUAAUAUAGAAGAUAGUUUAAGUUAGUUAUUAAUAUAGAAGAUGGUUUAAGUUAGUUAAGGGUUAAGUGAGGCAUAUAGAGAGAGAGAGAGAGGGGAAGACAGAUAUUAAUAGGAUUAGCUUAUAUUUUUUUUAGGGUUUUAAGUAAGUAUCUAGGUGGCAGGUCAGAAUGAUAUAAUAUUUAACACAGAUUAAUAUAGAAGAUGGUUUUAAGUUAGUAUAUAUCAAAGAGUUAAGUGAGGCAUAGAGAGAGAGAGAGAGAAAGGGUUAAUAGGAUUAGAAUGACAGGAGUAUAUAUCAAAGGGUUAAGUGAGGCAUAGAGAGAGAGAGAGAGAGGGUUAUUAAUAGGAUGACAGGAGUAUAUAUCAAAGGGUUAAGUGAGGCAUAGAAAGGGUUAUUAAUAGGAUUAGGAUGACGGGGUGUAUGAAUGUUUAACUCAGAUUAUAUUGAAGGUUUACUUCUUUAUAAUCUGAGUUUGUAUGGCAUGUUGAGUAUUAGUAUGUUAUUUUUGUAGUGGUGGUAGUGGUGUUGGGAUGUAUGAAUGAUGAUUUUUUUUUUUUUUUUGGUGGGGGGGGGCAAGGGGGGUAUAUAUAUAUAUAUAGUGUUAUAUAGAUAUUUUUUUUUUUUUUUAUCCCCAGAUCUUUGGUAAGAGAUCUGGGGAUUGUAUGUAUGUAUGUCUAGCCAGUAUUUUGGUAAGAUACUGGCUAGUGAGUGAGUGUGUGUGUGUGUGUGUGUGUGUGUGUGUGUGUGUGUGUGUGUGUGUACGUGUGGUGUGUGUACGUGUGUGUGUGUGCGUGCAUAUGUGUGUGGUGUGUGCAGUUUUUUUUUUAGGUUAGGUUAAUUAGUUAAAUAAAUAAAU